AGUAACGGCGAGUGAACAGGGAAAAGCUCAAGCUGAAAAUUGGCAGUUUACUGUCGAAUUGUAGUCUCACGAAGUGCAGCCUGUGUUUAUUCUAAGCUAAGUCUCUUGGAAAAGAGUACCAAAGAGGGUGAAAGUCCCGUCUUUACUUAGAAGUAUUCACGUUCGGUGCAUUCUCUUCGAGUCGCGUUCCUUGAGAUUGGAGCGCUAAUUAGGUGAUAAAUUUCAUCUAAAGCUAAAUAUUAACGAGAUUCCGAUAGCAUACAAGUACCGUGAGGGAAAGAUGAAAAGGACUUUGAAAAGAGAGUUAAAAGGAACUGAAAUUGCCAAGAGGAAAGUGGAGUGAUGAGGCAAUAUGUUGUGAAAUUGCUAUUUGAGUAUCAAAUCUCGGUGGCCGUUUCUGACUUACCUUUGGAAACAAUGUGUAAAAGGCGCCGCUUGCUAGUGCAACUGGAUCUUUUAGGUUCACUGCUUAGUAAGUGAGUCUUUAUCAUAUUGUAAACCUCGCUUAGU
Molecule: ribosomal RNA, 510 nt
Filed under: uncultured fungus
Lineage: Eukaryota; Fungi
Description: eukaryotic LSU rRNA
Rfam family: Eukaryotic large subunit ribosomal RNA
Source: RNAcentral